This 293-nucleotide unclassified non-coding RNA is filed under the name uncultured fungus. RNAcentral's name for it is "sequence contains ITS1". Lineage: Eukaryota; Fungi. The record is from RNAcentral.
GGACUACUGGGGUUUCUAAUCCUGUUUGCUCCCCACGCUUUCGCGUCUCAGCGUCAGUAUCGGUCCAGGUAGCCGCCUUCGCCACCGGUGUUCCUCCGAAUAUCUACGGAUUUCACCCCUACACUCGGAAUUCCACUACCCUCUCCCGUACUCAAGUCUGCCAGUUUCCAAUGCACUUCCCGGGUUGAGCCCGGGGCUUUCACAUCAGACUUAACAGACCGCCUACACGCGCUUUACGCCCAAUAAUUCCGAACAACGCUUGCACCCUCCGUAUUACCGCGGCUGCUGGCACC